RNAcentral lists this long non-coding RNA (11006 nucleotides) under Hordeum vulgare. RNAcentral describes it as "long non-coding RNA (HVUL_LNC015619)". The record is from RNAcentral. Lineage: Eukaryota; Viridiplantae; Streptophyta; Magnoliopsida; Poales; Poaceae.
AGUAUAUGGAAUGGCUUACACUCGCCACAAAUUAAGUUACAAUCCACACAACAUUAUUUCAAACAUACACAAAAAUAGGGUCCGGCUACGGACAAGAUAAAUGCCAAAAUGCAAUGACUCUCUCUCGCUAGCCCAGAAGACAACCAAGACCCUCUAAUCAUCGGGGUACGUCACGUACAUGUGACCACUACCUUCAUCAAACUCCCACUGAAGCUACAUUGCGUCAAAUGUCGUAGGAUCUGUGGUACCUGGAACUGUGGUAUGGUAGUAAUCUGUGAGCCAUAGGAACUCAACAAUCUUGCGACAAUGAUAGCGGAACUAAUCAAGUUAUUUGGUUUGGUAAGUUUAAGUGUUGAGGUUGCAACAACACUAAGCAUGUAUGGUGGCUAACUUACGAGAACAUAAUGUAAAGUGAGUGGUCGACGCAUGACGAUCGUGAACUACAUAAUGAUUACUGAGUGAUCCUGAAAACCAACUUACGUCAAUCUUAACCCCACCGUGUCCUUGGUCGAAGAAGGAGCUCGUGAAAGAGACAAUCACGGUUAUGCACACAGUUGGUAGGUUUUAAUGAAAUUUACUUCAAUUUAUCUAGAACUGGGUCUUAAACAAAGGUGCCAAGUUCCCACAUGAUCAUGGGCACAACUUUCUGAAAGAUAUGAACCCUGCAGGGGUGCUCCAACUAGUCCAUCAGAAACUACCACAAGCUGCUCUAGAGAGAAAACCUCAAACUCGAGAAAGCCCAAAGUAUCAUUGAUAUCCCAGUGCACAAGCCAUUCGCCAAAAGUAAGACAAUUCUAGCAAGACUUCCUAGCAUGCCAGAUCCCGAUAGGACUCACGCAUAUCUCUUCUCAAAGCACUACCAUAUGAGCUAGACGUAGUGUUCGCUGAAACCCCGGGUGACCAUGGGGCGCUGGACAUCGCUCGGUUUGGACCAACACUCAUGAUGAGCAUUGGCCCUCGUUGUUGAUUAAUAAUCUACAGGGUGGCUAUUCCCUAUGCAUUUUUAUUAAGUUGUUUAGAAAAUUUAGUACCAUUGUUGGGCCUUGCCGGAAGAAUCUUAGCUCAAAGGGAAUUGUCAGGGGGGGUCCCCAUAACAACCCCAAGCGUGUUAGGAGCACUCAAUAUGGAACUUCACACCGAUAACCGAAACUUGGGCGGCAAAAGCAGAAAAAAACACCAAGCAAAAGGCGAAGCCUUCCGCACUUUACCAAGUAUAUAGGUGCAUUAAAUUAAAUAACAUAAAUAAUAUGAUAUUCAAAAGCCCAUGUUAUCACAUAGAUCAACAUGCACCUGGAACUAGCAAUGCUAUAAGAGGGUUGAGCAAGUGCUAUCUUAUACAAUCAAUAUUUGCUAGGUUGUGGAGGGGUUAGAGGCUUUUAAUGGCAAUGUUUGGAGGCUAUGUAUUCAUGUGGUAGGCAAUGAUGAAUAGUGAAGGAAAAUGUGUCAUCUAAGCACAACAAAAUUAGAAAGGAUAUCAAGGUCAAGGUGAUCUUGCAUUUUGGUUCUAUUGACGGGUACAACUCUUGCUCUUCAGGAACGUACUCAACAUGAUCCUCGCACUCGUUCUCAGCUCCUCAUGCUACCCAAAGAAAACUAGACAUCCAAUGAACACUUAUACGUCUCAAACAUAUCUAUAAUUUUUUAUGGUUUCACGCUGUUAUCUUGUCAACUUUGGAUGUUUUGUUUAACUUUUAUAUAUUUUUUGGGACUAACUUAUUAACUCAGUGCCAAGCGCCAGUUCCUGUUUUUUCUGCGUUUUUGACUCUUAUCAGAUCUAAUUCUGGAACGGAGUCCAAACGGAAUAAAAUCCCCAAAAUCAUUUUUUUCCUAAACGGAUGAAGAUCACGAGGCUUGAGGGCCAAGCAAGUGGGCCCACAGGGAGCCCACAAGCCCUGUUGCCGCAGCCAGGGGGAGGCCGCAGCAACCAAGCUUGUGGCCUCCCUGGCGCUCCCCUGCCCUAGGUCUUUGGCCUAUAAAUUCCCAAAAAAUAAAAAAAAAAUAGGGCGUCCACGAAAACAAUUUUCCGCCGCCGCAAGCUUUCAUUUCCGCGAGAUCUCAUUUGGAGAAUCUUCCCGGUGCCCUGUCAGAGGGGACUUUGGAGUUGGAGGGCUUCUUCAUCAACAUCAUCGCCCCUCCAAUGACUCGUGGGUAGUUCACUUCAGACCUACGGGUCCGUAGUUAGUACCUAGAUGGCUUCUUCUCUCUCUUGGAUCUUCAAUACAAAGUUCUCCANNNNNNNNNNNNNNNNNNNNNNNNNNNNNNNNNNNNNNNNNNNNNNNNNNNNNNNNNNNNNNNNNNNNNNNNNNNNNNNNNNNNNNNNNNNNNNNNNNNNNNNNNNNNNNNNNNNNNNNNNNNNNNNNNNNNNNNNNNNNNNNNNNNNNNNNNNNGGCGGUGUGUUUGUCGAGGUCCAAUGAAUUGUGGAUUUGUGAUCAGAUUAUCUAUGAUAUAUAUUUGAGUCUUUGCUGAUUUCUUAUAUGCAUGAUUUGAUAUCCUUGUAGGUCUCUCCGAGUCUUGGGUUUUGUUUGGCCAACUAGAACUAUGAUUCUUGCAAUGGGAGAAGUGCUUGGUUUUGGGUUCUUACCGUGUGGUGACCUUUCCCAAUGAUGUAGGGGCAGCAAGGCACACAUCGUGUAGUUGCCAUCAAGGGUAACAAGAUGGGCUUUGUCGUAGAUAUGAGAUUGUCCAUCUACAUCAUGUCAUCUUGCUUAAGGCGUUACUCUGUUCUAAUGAACUUAAUACACUAGAUGCAUGCUGGAUAGCGGUCGAUGUGUGGAGUAAUAGUAGUAGAUGCAGAAAGUAUCGGUCUACUUGUUUUGGACAUGAUGCCUAUAGAUAUAAUCAUUGCCAUAGAUGACGUCACGACUUUGCGCGGUUCUAUCAAUUUCUUGAGAGUAAUUUGUUCACCCACCGUCUACUUGCUUUCAUGAGAGAAGCCACUAGUGAACACUAUGGCCCCUGGGACUAUUCACACCUAUCGUUUACACCUCCGCUUUUACUUUGCUUUGUUACUUUGUUGCUUUCAGUUCUCACUUGGCAAACAAUCUAUAAGGGAUUGACAACCCCUUCAUAGCGUCGGGUGCAGGUUCUUUGUGUUUGUGGAGGUACUUGUGAUACUCCUUCACUGGAUCGAUACCUUGGUUCUCAAAACUGAGGGAAAUACUUACCACCAUUGCGCUACAUCACCCUUUCCGCUUCGAGGGAGCACCAACGCAAGGUUCCAAGGCCACGGGGAAAUCCUUUGCAUAUUUGCCUAGCAAGUCCCUAAAGGCGUAGCCGUAGCAGAAGGAUUCCUGGUACCGUUGCUGAGGAGAAUCAAGACAAGAACAGUCCCAUCAGCACGUGUUUCUGGCGCCGUUGGAAGGUCUUUUUUGCAUCAGCAGAAGUAUUUCUAGCGCCGUUGCCGGGGAAGGAGAGAUCUAUCCAAGUAGGUCUCACAAACUCAUCUCUUGCAUUUACUUUUUUUUGCCAGUUGCCUCUCGUUUUCCUCUUCCCCACUUCAUAUUUGUCGUUUUCAUUUGCCUUUCUCCUUUGCCUUUUUCCUUUGCCUUUUUCGUUUGCCUUUCCUUUGCUUGAGUGCCAUGUGCCCUCAAUAUGCUUUCAUCUUCGCUUGCUGAAAACCUAUUGAUAUGGAUCAUCAUCCACUAGCUAAUCUCUUUAGGAGAUCCACUUGUGUGGAACCAAUUGCUAGUGAGUUGAGUGCACUUGACUUUCUCUAUGGAGUUUUGCUUGAGAUGCGUGAAUCUGAAAAUCGCGAUGAAGAAAUUCAUGAAGUGGUUCACGAGGGCUCCUUGGAUGAAAAGCAUGAUUGCAAUGGUUUCAGUAUAAAUCCUAUUAGUGACAAUCAUGCUAAAAAUAUGCAAAACCCUAAGCUUGGGGAUGCUAGUUUUGCUAUGUCCCCUACUUGUUGCAAUAAUCAUGAUUGGGGUGAUGAUCUUUCUUAUGAUCUUGAAAAUUUGUUCAAACCUCAUGAUGAAUAUGAUAUUUGCAAUCAUAUUGAAAGUGGGUUUGGAGAAGUCAUGACUUUAGUUGGUGAUAAUCCCACUAUUUUUGAAGAGCGUCAACUUUGCAUGCAUGUGGAUCAUGAAAAGAAUAUCCUAUGUGAUACUUACAUUGUUGAAUUUGAAUAUGACCCCACAUGUAAUUGCUAUGAGAGAGGAAAAUAUUGUGGUAGAAACUUUCAUGUUACCAAUUUACCUCUCGUUAUGUGGAGAUUGCUAUUGUCUCUUUCUUCUUGCUUGCAUAUGGCAACUAUUGGUUGUCUUGACAAUCUGUUUUCCUAUAAAAUGCCUAUGCAUAGGAAGUAUGUUAGACUUAGAUGUGAUUUUCACAUGCUUUAUGAUUGUCUCGUUGUGCUUCAACUCUUGUCUUUUGUGUGAGCAUCAUUGAUGCCUAGCUAAGGGCGUUAAACAAUAGCGCUUGUUGGGAGGCAACCCAACGAAUCUAUCCUUUUUCUUUCUGUUUUGUGUUUUCCACACUUUCAUAAUUCUGUUAUGAUUGUGCUUUUUGUGUUUUUUGUGUUUCUUUUUGCGUUUGUGCCAAGAAAAACUGUUAUGAUUAGUCUUGGGGAUGAUCGUUUGGUCAUGCUGGAAAAGACAGAAACUUUCUGCUCACAGAAAGCAUUUUCAUUUUUUUUUCUGUAAGAGCUUUUGAGUUAAUUCUUUUUGCUGAUGAUUUAUACGCAAAUUCUUCAGACUGUCGUAAAUUUUCAAAAUUAUUGAAGUACCAGAAGUAUAGGAGGUAUACAUAUUGCUACAGACUGGUCUGCUGUUAACAGAUUCUGUUUUUGUUGUGUUGGUUGCUUAUUUUGAUGAAACUAUGGAUAGUAUCGGGGGGUAUUAGCCAUGGAAGAUUGAAAAUACAGUAACCCAACAUCAGCACAAGUAGAAUUCAAGUUUGCUACAGUACCUAAGGAAGUGGUGGUUUGCUUUCUUAUACUAAUGAUAUCACGAGUUCAGUUUAAGUUUCGUGUUGUGAAGUUUUCAAGUUUUGGGUGAAGUUCUUAUGGACAAAAGGAUAAAGAGUGGCAAGAGCUCAAGCUUGGGGAUGCCCAAGGCACCCCAAGAGAUUCAAGGAUGUCGUAAAAGCCUAAGCUUGGGGAUGCCCCGGGAAGGCAUCCCCUCUUUCGUCUUCAAUCCAUCGGUAACGUUACUUGGGGCUAUAUUUUUAUUCACCACAUGUUAUGUGUUUUGCUUGGAGCGUCUUGUAUCGUACGAGUAUUUUAUUUUUGUUGUGUCACAAUCAUCCUUGCUAUACACCUAGAGAGAGAGACAUGCACUCACCAUGAUUUUGUCGAGCUUCACUUAUAUCCUUUGGUUAGACAAUUCAGCUCACAUGUGCUUCACUUAUAUCUUUUGAGCUAGAUGCUUUUGCUCUAUGUGUUUCACUUAUACCUUUUAGAGCACGGCGGUGCGUGGCUUGGUAGUUGAUCUAUGCUAUGAAUGUAGUCUCAAAAGGGGUAGUUAUCCAAAGGGAUACGAAAACUUCCACCUUCAUGUGCAUUGAAUAGUUAGAGAAGUUUGAUUCAUCUCAACUAGUUUUGAGUUGUGGUUAUGGUAAUAUUGAAGUUAUACUAGUAAGGUGUUGUGGAUAUAUAAAUAGUUGUGUUGAAGUUAGUAAUUCCCGUAGCAUGCACGUAUGGUGAACCGGUAUGUGAUGAAGUCUGAGCAUGAUUAGUCUAUUGAUUGUCAUCCAUUGUGUGGCGGUCGAGAUCGCGCGAUGGUUUAUACCUACAAUCCUUCCCCUAGGAGUAUGCGUUGAAUGCUUUGUUUCGAUUACUAAUAAACUUUUGCAACAAGUAUAUGAGUUCUUCAUGACUAAUGUUGAGUCCAUGGUUUAGAUGCACUUUCACCUUCCACCAUCACUAUCUUCUUUAGUGCCGUGCAACUUUCGUCGGUGCACAAAACCCACCAUUAGCCUCCCUCAAAACAGCCACCAUACCUACCUACUAUGGCUUUUUCAAAGUCAUUCCAAGAUAUAUUGCCAUGCAAAUACCACCAUGACAUGUGCCACCACGUCUACAUUGCCAUUGCAUGAUCAUAAGAUAGCUAGCAUGAUGUUUCCAUUUAUGUCUAUGCCAUGCUAGAUCAUUGUCACGGUACACUACCGAAGGCAUUUCAUAUAGAGACAUCGUUGCUCUAAGUUUUGAAUUGUAAGUUUCAUGAUCAUCAUUGAUGGAGCAUUGUCCCAUGUGAGGAAAUAAAAGAGGCCAAAUAUGCCCACCAAAAAAAAGAGACGGCAAAGAGCCCAUUCAAGAAAAAAAAAGGAGAGAAGGGACAAUGCUACCACUUUUCCACACUUGUGCAUAUUAAGCACCAUGAUCUCAAUGAUUGAGAGUCUCUCGUUUUGUCACCACCAUAUAGCUAGUGCAAAAUUUUCAUUAUCUAACUUGGCUUGUAUAUUCCAAUGAUAGGUUUCCUCAAAAUUGCCUUAGGUCUUCGUGAGCAAGCAAGUUGGAUGCACACCCACUAGUUUUCUUUAAGAUCUUUCACAUACUCUUAGCUCUAGUGUAUCAUUUGUAUGGCAAUCCCUACCCAUUCACAUUGAUAUCUAUUGAUGAGCAUCUCCAUAGCUCAUUGAUAUGCCUAGUUAAUGUGACCAUCUUCUCCUUUUUUGUUUGUCUUGCAACCUCCACCACACUCCACACCACUUAUAGUGCUAAAACCAUGGCUCACGCUCAUGUAUUGUGUGAGAGUUGAAAAAGUUUGAGAAAGUAAAGGUGUGAAAACAAUUACUUGGCCAAUACCGGGGUUGUGCAUGAUUUAAAUUCGUUGUGCAAUGAUGAUAGAGCAUAGCUAGACUAUAUGAUUUUGUAGGGAUAACUUUCUUUUGGCCUUGUUAUUUUGAAAGUUCAUGAUUGCCUUGCUAGUUUGCUUGAAUUAUUAUUGUUUCCAUGUCAAUAGCAAACUAUUGUUUUGAAUCUAAUGGAUCUGAACAUUGACGUCACAUAAGAGGAGUUACAAAGGACAUCUGAUUUUGGAACGGAGUCCAAACGGAAUAAAAUCCCCAAAAUGAUUUUUUCUAGAACGGAAGAAGAUCAGGAGGCUUGAGGGCCAAGCAAGUGGCCCCACAGGGAGCCCACAAGCCCUGUUGCCGCGGCCAGGGGGGAGGCCGCGGCAACCAAGCUUGUGGCCUCCCUGGCACUCCCCUGCCCUAGGUCUUUGGCCUAUAAAUUCCCUAAAAAUCCAGAAAAAAUCAGGGCAUCCACGAAAACACUUUUCCGCCGCCGCAAGCUUCCGUUUCCGCAAGAUCUCAUCUAGAGACCCUUCCCGGUGCCUUGCCGGAGGGGACUUUGGAGUUGGAGGGCUUCUUCAUCAACAUCAUCGCCCCUCCAAUGACUCGUGAGUAGUUCAAUUCAGACCUACGGGUCCGUAGUUAGUAGCUAGAUGGCUUCUUCUCUCUCUUGGAUCUUCAAUACAAAGUUCUCCAUUAUCUUCAUGGAGAUCUAUCCGAUGUAAUCUUCUUUNNNNNNNNNNNNNNNNNNNNNNNNNNNNNNNNNNNNNNNNNNNNNNNNNNNNNNNNNNNNNNNNNNNNNNNNNNNNNNNNNNNNNNNNNNNNNNNNNNNNNNNNNNNNNNNNNNNNNNNNNNNNNNNNNNNNNNNNNNNNNNNNNNNNNNNNNNNNNNNNNNNNNNNNNNNNNNNNNNNNNNNNNNNNNNNNNNNNNNNNUUGCUGAUUUCUUAUAUGUAUGAUUUGAUAUCCUUGUAAGUCUCUCCGAGUCUUGGGUUUUGCUUGGCCAACUAGAUCUAUGAUUGUUGCAAUGGGAGAAGUGCUUGGUUUUGGGUUCUUACGGUGUGGUGACCUUUCCCAGUGACAGUAGGGGCAGCAAGGCACACAUCGUGUAGUUUCCAUCAAGGGUAACAAGAUGGGAUUUGUCAUAGAUAUGAGAUUGUCCAUCUACAUCAUGUCAUCUUGCUUAAGGCGUUACUAUGUUCUCAUGAACUUAGUACACUAGAUGCAUGCUGGAUAGCGGUCGACGUGUGGAGUAAUAGUGGUAGAUGCAGAAAGUAUCGGUCUACUUGUCUUGGACGUGAUGCCUAUAGAUAUAAUCAUUGCCAUAGAUGACAUCACGACUUUGCGCGGUUCUGUCAAUUUCUCGACAGUAAUUUGUUCACCCACCGCCUACUUGCUUUCAUGAGAGAAGCCACUAGUGAACACUACGCCCCCCGGGUCUAUUCACACCUAUCGUUUACACCUCCGCUUUUACUUUACUUUGUUACUUUGUUGCUUUCAGUUCUCACUUGGCAAACAAUCUAUAAGGGAUUGACAACCCCUUCAUAUCGUUGGGUGAAGGUUCUUUGUGUUUGUGCAGGUACUUGUGAUACUCCUUCACUGGAUCUAUACCUUGGUUCUCAAAACUGAGGGAAAUACUUACCACCGCUCCACUACAUCACCCUUUUCGCUUCGAGGGAACACCAAUGCCAGGCUCCAAGGCCACGGGGAAAUCCUUUGCAUAUUUGCCUAGGAAGUCCCUAAAGACGUAGCCGUAGUAGAAGGAUUCCUAGUGCCGUUGCUGAGGAGAAUCAAGACAAGAAUAGUCUCCUGUCAGCACGUGUUUCUCGCGCCGUUGGAAGGUCUUUUGUUGCAUCAGCAAACACCAGGCAAGGUGCAAUGCUUCAAACAACCAUGAUGCAUGAGUGUAGUUAUGAAAGAAGCAUGGCAAUGCUAACUAGUCAUCUUAGUCAUGCAUUUAUGAAGUUAUUUAGCAUUUUGGAUAGAGCCUCAAGUUUAUUCAUUUGGGCAUGCAUGAACAUGGAAGAAAUGGAUGCAUCAUGAGAAAAUGGUGCAAAAAUAUAUAAGGAACUUCGCAAAACGAGCUACAGAUCCCUCAGAAUUCACCAAACAAGAUACAUAUGGCAACAAUGACUAAAAAGAAUUUCAGAGGUGUCUAUGGGCAUUUUCUUAGCACUCCAAGUAAGCCACUGGAUUGCGCACGAAAUUCCAGGUGGUAUAGAUCUAAAGAUCACGUGAAACACUUGAGGAUAACUCACACAAAGCACAAAACAAUUUAGCAACCAAUUUGUCCACAAGCAGCCACAUACCACUUUGAUCAUGUGAAAACUAGUACCUAGAGCCACUUAACAAUUUUAACGAAGACAUGAAUAUGAAGCUAUCAAAGUUCACAAUAAUCUCUAACUAACAACAACAUUGAUAGGUUCAUGAAACAAUGGCAAACAAGUCCUCAACAUGGCAAGAAACAAUACAAAUUAUGACUUAGUGAAAAUGUCACUUUGCACUUGCAGUUUAUAACCUGGUGGCAUUUUGACAGCAAUAAAACUCUACUCUACAGCAAGUUUCAUGGCAUGUAGUUUAAUAGGGUGACAGAGGGCAAAAACUACUACAAAUGACUCUCACUAUGUAGGAGCUGAAACUGCAUAGAAUCCAUGGUAGCAUCCCCUAAACAUGCCAUGGAAAUAACAGUAGAUUUCCAGACUUAGUCAAAUUUCAUCAACGGAAUCCACAACAGCUUAUAACAUCAUAGCAUAUUUGAGAGGAAGAAACUCUAAGAUACAAAACCUACUUGGCAAGGUGGUGGCCCCAUUUGAUAGAAGGCAACAAGCACUAUGAUACAUGGCACUGGACCAACCACAAAAGGAUCAACAGACCCAUGGGAAUCAUCAAGACAACAUAGCAACAAAAUAACCAGAUUCUAUACUUAGAAAUAUUUGAGCAUGCGACACAUCAACAUUUUCUUAUCAUGUUUAUAGCAAGAAACCAACUAAUCCACAAGCUUAUCAUGACAAAUAAAAUUAUCAGGGCAUAUUACCCUCAAAACUCUACCACAAUCAUGUUGACAAGUUUACCAAAUAUUGAACGGAUUAGAUCAUGCAAAAAUAACAAAAUGUCUCCUUGAGACAAAAUAACAUUUCCCCAAAGUUGCUCCAAUGGGAAAACUAACGACCCCAUUGGAUUCCUGGGAUUUGUCUACCCCAAAAUCAUAUGUCAUACCCAUAUGCUUCUCUAGAAACAUACCCCACAAAUCAAUUCGAAAAAUUGCCCCUAUCAUAUAGCACUAGUUAUAAACCAAAUUCGGACUAUCCCUAUUUGGACAUACCAAAAUUUGGACUUGCCCUAAACAGAAAGAAAAACAAACAGAGGUAAUUACUCUACAAAAAAUUACUCCCUCCGUUCCUAAAUAUAAGUAUUUUAAGCGAUUUCAAUAGGUGUCUACAUACGGAGUAAAAUGAUUGAAUGUACACUCUAAAGUAUGUCUAUAUACAUUCGUAUUUAGUGUAUUAGUGAAAUCUCUACAAAGACUUAUAUUUAGGAAGGGAGAGAGUAAAACAAAGGGGGGCACCUGGCAUAGACACCACGGCCCCCCACGGAUCACAUGUGGCCCCAGGACUCGUGUCUCCAUGGGUGAGCUCGUAGGGCGCUACCACUAGGCUAGACUCUGGGUUGCUGAACAAGGGGGAGCGCCACCCGAGUCAUCCUUCAGAAAUGCGUUGCCUUUCCUCUGCCCUGCAGCACAGAGGCACUUGACGUCGUCGGCGCGGCCUCUGACUACUAACGGGGUGCACAAGCAGCUGCGGGGACGUGGUGCACUACGGGGAAUCCAUUCCUGGGGCUUUUUAGUGGAUACGCGUGCAACCUCGAGGCGCUCAAGCACAAGCCACCGGUGGCGAGGGGCGGCUGCAGGCUACGACAGCGAGGCGCAAUUGCUGCUAACGAAGCGAGGCGCGGCUUCUACUAAUGACGGCCAUGAGCGGCUACUGACGACAGAAAAGAACGAGGGGGAGGCGGUUUCUCACCCCGCUUUGUUGGAGACGGCGAGGAGGAAGCCGGUGCGAUGGAGCGGAAGCAGAGGGGGUGCACGACACGUCUGAGAGGAAGGAGGGGGUGCGCGUCCUUGCGAUCCGGCUCGGAGAAGACUCGAACAGGCACCCCUUGGCGACGCAUGCCACCAGGAUCACGCAGGGACGGUGAUUGGGCUCAGCCUGAGCUCGAGCUCACGUUCUCUUGGGGCUUGGCGACAGCUGCGACCAUCGGCGGCAGGAGAGGGAGGAGAAGAG